CCAGGUUUCGACGUGGGUCGCGAAGCAGCACAGGGCAUGUCGAGGACCAGUCACCUCGUAAAUCCAUCUGGAAACACUUUAAACGCCAACGACGAGCGUUUCGCUCUCGCCGCCUAAUACCGGCGAGACGCUGCACUAGCCUGCUGAUGGGCUAGGCCCCGCAAGGGGUGCAGCGUCAUUUACAUCAGNNNNNNNNNNNNNGUCAUUUACAUCAGCCUCUCUGCGGGGUCUGGCCGCUUGGCCCCGCGGAUCCGUCGAAGCGGCUGGCUGAGCGUCAGCCUGCCGGUCGGCGGUCGCGAGGCGAGAUCCAAAUGAUCAGGCUAAGCAUGUAGUCCUGGCUGUCUAGGGCUUGCGGACGCGGGUUCGAUCA
RNAcentral lists this transfer-messenger RNA (370 nucleotides) under Pseudomonadales bacterium RIFCSPLOWO2_02_FULL_63_210. It matches the Rfam family "transfer-messenger RNA". Rfam says of the family: Bacterial tmRNA, also known as 10Sa RNA or SsrA, is named for its dual tRNA and mRNA-like properties. Its role is to liberate the mRNA from a stalled ribosome. The record is from RNAcentral. Lineage: Bacteria; Pseudomonadati; Pseudomonadota; Gammaproteobacteria; Pseudomonadales.